UGCGUAGGCGGGCCCGUUAGUCAGGGGUGAAAUCCCACGGCCCAACCGUGGAAGUGCCUCUGAUACUGCGGGCCUGGAGGGGGAUAGGGGCGUGCGGAACUUCCGGUGGAGCGGUGAAAUGCGUAGAUAUCGGAAGGAACACCGGUGGCGAAAGCGGCGCGCUGGAUCCCUACUGACGCUGAGGCACGAAAGCCAGGGGAGCAAACG
This 207-nucleotide ribosomal RNA is filed under the name uncultured bacterium. RNAcentral describes it as "partial 16S ribosomal RNA". It matches the Rfam family "Bacterial small subunit ribosomal RNA", at positions 568 to 774 of the family's 1533-position model. The record is from RNAcentral.